GAUGAACGCUGGCGGCGUGCCUAACACAUGCAAGUCGAACGGAGCUGCUUUGAUGAAGUUUUCGGAUGGAUUUAAAACAGCUUAGUGGCGGACGGGUGAGUAACGCGUGGGUAACCUGCCUCACACUGGGGGAUAACAGGUAGAAAUAGCUGCUAAUACCGCAUAAGCGCACGGUUCCGCAUGGAACCGUGUGAAAAACUCCGGUGGUGUGAGAUGGACCCGCGUCUGAUUCGCCAGUUGGCGGGGUAACGGCCCACCAAAGCGACGAUCAGUAGCCGGCCUGAGAGGGUGAACGGCCACAUUGGGACUGAGACACGGCCCAAACUCCUACGGGAGGCAGCAGUGGGGAAUAUUGCACAAUGGGGGAAACCCUGAUGCAGCGACGCCGCGUGAGUGAAGGAGUAUUUCGGUAUGUAAAGCUCUAUCAGCAGGGAAGAAAGUGACGGUACCUGAAUAAGAAGCCCCGGCUAACUACGUGCCAGCCGCCGCAGUAA
Molecule: ribosomal RNA, 494 nt
Filed under: uncultured bacterium
Lineage: Bacteria
Description: partial 16S ribosomal RNA
Rfam family: Bacterial small subunit ribosomal RNA
Source: RNAcentral